RNAcentral lists this ribosomal RNA (509 nucleotides) under uncultured Methanocella sp. RNAcentral describes it as "bacterial SSU rRNA". It matches the Rfam family "Archaeal small subunit ribosomal RNA", at positions 1 to 517 of the family's 1478-position model. Lineage: Archaea; Methanobacteriati; Methanobacteriota; Methanomicrobia; Methanocellales; Methanocellaceae. The record is from RNAcentral.
UUCCGGUUGAUCCUGCCAGAGGUCACUGCUAUCGGUGUCCGAUUAAGCCAUGCGAGUCGAGAGGUGUAAGACCUCGGCAGACUGCUCAGUAACACGUGGAUAACCUGCCCAAGGGUCCGGGAUAACCCCGGGAAACUGGGGAUAAUACCGGAUGGGUCACCAGUGCUGGAAUGCUUGGUGGUCGAAAGGUGACGCCUUUGGAUGGGUCUGCGGCGGAUUAGGUUGACGCCGGUGUAACGUACCGGCGUGCCUGUAAUCCGUACGGGUUGUGGGAGCAAGAGCCCGGAGAUGGAUUCUGAGACACGAAUCCAGGCCCUACGGGGCGCAGCAGGCGCGAAAACUCUACAAUGCAGGCAACUGCGAUAGGGGGACAUCGAGUGGCAUCCACCUUGGGUGUCUGUCCAACCGUCUAAAAAACGGUUGUUAGCAAGGGCCGGGCAAGACCGGUGCCAGCCGCCGCGGUAAUACCGGCGGCUCGAGUGGUGGCCGAUAUUAUUGAGUCUAAAGGG